Molecule: unclassified non-coding RNA, 305 nt
Filed under: uncultured fungus
Lineage: Eukaryota; Fungi
Also listed under: 1 other name
Description: partial contains 5.8S ribosomal RNA, internal transcribed spacer 2, and large subunit ribosomal RNA
Rfam family: 5.8S ribosomal RNA (bases 1-52)
Source: RNAcentral
AACGCACCUUGCGCCUUUUGGUAUUCCAAAAGGCACACCUGUUUGAGUGUCAUGAAACCCUCUCACAAAACAACUUUAUUGUUGCUUUUUUUGUGGAUGUUGAGUGUUGCUAUAUAUUUAUAGCUCACUUUAAAUAUAUAAGUCACACUUUUCAAGUAAGUUGGAUUGACUUGGUGUAAUAAUUUUAUCAUCACAUCAAGGAAAGUAGCAAUACUUGCCAUCUUUUGAAAGGAGGGACUCCUAAAAAACCCCUCAUAACCUUUUUUUAAGACCUCAAAUCAGGUGGGACUACCCGCUGAACUUAA